This is a long non-coding RNA of Oncorhynchus kisutch (coho salmon), 4459 nucleotides long. NCBI's taxonomy places the organism in Eukaryota, Metazoa, Chordata, Actinopteri, Salmoniformes, Salmonidae. The record is from Ensembl.
AUGGGAGGUCAUACUGCAGUGGUGUGUUUGGUUCAGCUGGCCAUAUGCUGUGUGCUACUGCCCAGAGCAGGGGAGAGUGCAGGAGGUAUUGUCUCUUUAGGCCAGGCUGUAGAGGAGAAAGGGAUGGAGGCCCUAUAUGGAGAGGAGUCCCAGAAUGAACCAGCUAAAGAAGAGGAACUCACAGAGACACAAAGCCAAACUAGCAAGGAAAAGAGAGCCACAGAGGAGGAUGCCCUACCAGCCAGGGUCAGGAGAGCCGAAGAGGAGGGCAAAGGGAAUAAAAAGAAGGGCAAGAAAGACAAGAAAGACAAGAAGAACAAGGAGCCCAAAGUGCCCAAGGCCACCAAGAAGCCUAAAGCAGACAAAAAGCCAAAGAAGGGCAAAGGAAAGGAGCCACGGACAGAAGCACCUACAACAACUCCACCACCUACAACUACCACACUACCACCCACAACUACCACACCACCACCUACAACUACCACAGAGGUGUACACAGAAGCAGCUCCCACAGAACCUGACCCAUACCCAGACUACCCCUACACAGACAACGAGGAUGACUACUGGAGGCCAGAUGAGGAGGAGCCUGGAGGCCCAGUGGUCGACCCAGAAGAUGACUACUGGAAGGGAGAGAACCCAACGGCCACGCCCCCCACUCCUGUGGUGGAUGGAAAGGUGGACAAGGGAGACGAGGACUACUGGGACGCCAGAUAUGAGGUGCCCGAGAAUCUUCCUUUCCCUGAUGGUACAGAGGUCGUCCCCACAGAGAAAGAUGACUGGAGCUAUGCUGUUACAGAGGAGCUUGUUACACCACCACCCACCUAUGAAAGCCCAUGGUACGAGGAGUAUGACUACGGGCAUAGUGGUGGACAGAGUACGUACACACACGGGCACACACACACACUGUCCUUGUGGGGACCAAACAAUUGAUUCCCAUUCAAAAUCCUAUUUUCCCUAACCCCUAAACCUAAUCCUGAACCGAACCCCAACCCCUAAACCUAACCCUUAAACCUAAUUCUAACCUUAACCAUAAUUGCAACCCUAAACAUAACCCCUAAGCCUAAAAUAGCAUUGCGAAAUGUCUCCACUUGUCUGUAUUUUCCUUGAUUUACUAUCCUUGUGAGGUAAAACACACACACACACACACACACACACACACACACACACACACACACUCUGCACUGUAAAAUAAACCCUUGGCCAAAUCUUCAAUAGAAAUAUGUUUUUCAUUUCAAAUGGGACCCUGUGGUGAAAUAAAGAUUAGAUAGACACAAUAAAGAACUGGGCCUUUACCACAGAGUCUAAAGUAAUGGGCCAACACUUCUCAUUCCCCACAAUAAUGAAAAAAAAGAACUGUAUACUGUUUCAAUUAUAUGGUCUGUUGUCCAAGUUUGGGUUGAGCAAGACUUUGGCAGCUGAUGUUCCAAACUCCCAAAUAAGAAAAUACCAAGUAACUGGAACAAACAACAGUCAGAUCAAGAUUAUUACCCCCUUCAAACACUUUGUCAUGUUUAUCAUUUGGAUAUUGUGGCAAACCUUAAGAAACACCUGGGUCUGUUCAGGAGGGGGAAACGUUACAGAACGUUUGUGUAUAUUAUGAUUGGUUGUCUGUCAGGUACAAUAGGAAAUCAUGACGUUAUCUUUUAUUCUAUCUGCAACGUUCUAAAUAUUUCACUCCACUGAAAACACCCCACAUACACAGUAUACUGGUACAUGUAAUGGGGAGGUGGGGGAAAGUAACCUCAAAUUCAGCCAUGAUUGUUUUUCCCUCCUUUGUUUACCACAGCGAAAAAACAGGAGGAGAGAGAGAUCCAAAGGAAAGAAAAGGAGAGAGAGGAUAGAGGUAUUGUGCACAGCCUAUUUUCCAUUAUGAUCUGAAUGACAGUGAUCUAUCUAUCUUCAGUUGUAGAUACUUCACAUAUACAGUAUCAUUUACAUGUUGGUCAUUAAGCAGACACUCUUAUCCAGAGCAACUUACAGUCAAUGCACUCACAAAAAAAAUGCUGGGUUAAAAACAACCCAAUUUGGGGUUUUUGGUAAAUAUGGGUAAAUAUUGGAUAGAACACACACUGGGUUAUUUUGUGUUGUCAAAAAAUGCAUUGUCAAAAUAUAGUUGACUUCUCAAAAUAUAAAUACAUUCAUCAAAACUAUAUUAAACCAUCGAAAUUGCAAAUACAUUCAUCAAAAGGAACACAACUGUCCUGCAAAAAGAUCAACGCAACCACACUUUUGUCCAAUUUCAAAAUUGGAUGUACAAAAGUAUAAUAAAGUGCAGAAUUAUGGGCAAUUACUCUCCUUUUAUGCAUGUUUCACCAAACAAUUUCAUAUAUAUCAAAUCAAAUUUGAUCCCUGAUUUAAAAAAAUAAUAAAACAAGCACAUUGUGCAGCAGUCAUUCAUGGGUAUCAUCACAAUCCAUUUCCAUAGUUUUUUUAGUUUCCAAUUGGGCACAGAAACACAAUCCCACAUUAGAAAUAGGAAAGUUGAAUACAACGGAGGAACACAACUGAUAUGAAUGUACAGUAUAUAGGCCUCAAUCCACAUCAAAGCAAAAUUCUAUAAUGGAAGGUCACAACGUAAAAAAAUGUCUGCAACCCAGCAGAUGGGUCAGCCAAACAACUCAGCAUUUUUGUUUGUGUCCAUUAAACUAAGGUAGGUAAAACAACCACAUAUCAGAGUCAUUGCAAGUAAAACUUAGUAACACUGCGAUGUCAUACUUUGCACUGUCAGUCAAGCAGAUGAACAUAUGACCAUGUCACUCACAGAUUCAUAAUGUAGUGGAGGAAUAUCAGUCCCUAAUGGUUCAUGUUUCCGCUUAAAGCGAAUGAGGGAGAAAAAAAACACAGAUAUCAGUCUCUACCUGGGCAUUGCAAACAUGUAGCUGUGAAGCUUCAGUAUGGCUCCACUUGCUAAGACGAGGGACAAAAGUGAAUUCUAUCUAGAGCAGGACAAAUCUGAACCAUAGAGAUGUGUUGUGAGGGAAGGAAAGGUCGCUGGUUCGAAUCCCCUGUUGCUGUGCCAUUGAGUGCCAUCUGCUAAAUGACUCAAAUGUAAACGUCUUUAACCUGCAUUGGUGCAUGGAAGAAGCUUUGAGCUGGAGCAGAAAGAAAGGAAGAGACGGGACAGCAGAGAGAGGUUACAGAACAUGCUGGAACGAAAGAUGAGGGAAAGAGAGAAACAACAUAAGGGAUAAAAACAGAGUAGAGAGUCAACAGUAAUGGAGGGGAGAGAUGUUGAAAUCAUGAGCUUAGAAUGAAGAUCGAAACACUUGGGAUAAGAACCAACAGCUGUUGCCACAUGUUCCAUUCUGUACUGUACCUCCUGCACAGCGAGGAGAGUAGAACCAGCUAAAUGUAUCAUCAGAAUGGAACCAGGGACUUUUGUCUAUGGGAGAUUACACUGAGUGUACAAACAUUAAGGACACCUGCUCUUUCCAUAACAGACUGACCAGGUGAAUACAGGUAAAAGCUAUGAUCCCUUCGUGAUGUCACUUGUUUAAUCCAAUUUAAUCAGUGUAGAUGAAUGGGAGACACAGGUUAAAGAAGGAUUUCUAAGCCUUGAGACAUGGAUUGAGUAUGUGUGCCAUUCAGAGGGUGAAUGGGCAAGACAAAAUAUUUAAGUGCCUUUGAAUGGGGUAUGGUAGUAGGUUGCCAGGCGCACCGGUUUGUGUCAAGAACUGCAACGCUGCUGGGUUUUUCACGCACAACAGUUUCCCGUGUGUAUCAAGAAUGGUCUGCCACCCAAAGGACAUCCAGCCAACUUGACACAACUGUGGGAAGCAUUGGAGUCAACAUGGGCCAGCAUCCCUGUGGAACGCUUUCAACACCUUGUAGAAUGGGGGGCGGGGUUACUCUGUCCACCACUAGCCGUGAUUGCACAUGUGUAUGCAGAACAAAAUCACAUUUAAUACAAAAUGUGACAGCUUUCACAUCCAGUUAGAGAUAGACACUUUAAGCAGGGUUACCCAUAAAAUGUGACUGGUGGUUAUGAAAGUUCGGAUACAACAGUGUGCGGCCUGUCUUAGAUUUACUGAAGAAAAAAAGAACAAUCUGAAUUUAAUCAGCACAUUCCUGAAUUUGGAGAAAUAUAAUACAUCUGGUUUCCUGCCUAUCUGCAAUGUGGAUCCUCUGAGGCAUUACUGCAGUUGUCGAUAAAUACACACACACACACACACGCACGCACGCACACACACACACACACAGAGAAUCCAUUACUGGAAUUGUAGUUAGUGAUUGACUAUGGUCCUGUUUGACAGAGAGAGCUCAGCAGAGGAGGGAGGAGGAAGAGAGGGCCAAAGCCAAGAAGAGACCACACGUAUUCAAGGAGCCCAAAAGUAAGUAACUUGCUACCAUCCAAUGAUACAAUACUCGGUUAGUAAAAGUUUUAGCAAGAGCUUCAGAGGUUUUCCAUUGUGGUUUGAAGUUUUUGUGAUGCGUGUGUGACUGAGAUGUUUUCCCCUGGUGG